GGACAGUGGUGCAAUGGAUGCCUGCUACUGAGGAAUAAAACUUGUUAAUUUUCUCCUGCAAAAGAUCCCUGUGUAAUUGAAAUAGAAUCCCAUCUGAACUUUAAUUUUUUCAGUGACAGUCAUCUCUUUGAUAAGAACAGGGCUUUCUCAGUACUGCAUUUUGAAGUUAUGUGUUUUAGUGCUUUGAGGAACAGAAGAUACUUCUGCAUUAGUAUACAGCGACAGUGGAAAAUGCCAGAGUGUUUGGGAGCUAGGCCAGGAGGAGGAUAGGUAUGCAGCUGGUCGUCUGUCUCACUGCUUUUGAGAACACAGGUAAUUACUGCAUGCCAUAUACCUUCCUGAUGAAAUGCCUUUUGGAAAAUCAAAGCUGUUUGGUUCCAAGGCAGAGGCAGUUUCUCUGACCAAAUGGGGUUUAGUAACUCUUCCA
Gallus gallus (chicken) is the source of this 427-nucleotide long non-coding RNA. The record is from Ensembl. Lineage: Eukaryota; Metazoa; Chordata; Aves; Galliformes; Phasianidae.